Molecule: long non-coding RNA, 853 nt
Filed under: Homo sapiens (human)
Lineage: Eukaryota; Metazoa; Chordata; Mammalia; Primates; Hominidae
Description: HSALNT0217811
Source: RNAcentral
GAGGGUUCCUUGUGGAAGCAGUGUGUGGGCUAGGCCUGAAAAGGCAACUUUUCAUCAGCCAGAACCGAGGAGGCUGUGUCCACAGUCACUCCUGGCUCACUGCAGAGGAGGCUGGAAAACAGCAUCCCCAGGAAGAAGAGAACAUGGAUUUUGGCUCUGUUAGGCAGCAUUGGCAGGACUGAGGAUCCACAUUAUUUCUCUAGGGAAAACCUUUCCAUCUGUCAAACAACGAGCUCACUGACAAACUCACUACCACCGGAUCCACAAGACACAGAACAUCUUGUGCUCCACACGGGAGGCACGGGGGGAAAUUAUCCCAGAAGAAUGUCAAUCAGCAUUGCUCAUUGCCCCAGAUCCAAGCCAGCAGGCCUGAAGUGAAACCUCACAUUUAUAGGGAAGGUCCCUUGACUUUUUCUCAUCACAGGUGCCCAGGCUGGGCUAAGUUCUUAUUACAAGUCCUCCACACCACCAUUCCCCUUCCAUGGAAGCCAUUCAUUCAUGAUUAUAUGUUGUUGUUUAUUUCCCCCAUAAGACUGUUGGUGCUGUUCCCUGACUUAAAAAUAUGUGUGCAGGCCAGAGAAUAGUUCAAUAGUUCCAGGAAAAAAAUUGAAGCAACAUAUGGGUGAACCCUACCUUUGAGAAAGUCAGUUUUUAUAAGACUGUGAGAUAAUAAUAAGCAACCUAUUUGUAGUCUUUACUUUUUAAAAUGCUUCCCUAUACACGGAAUUGCCCUCAGCUGUCAGUAACAGGGAACUAACUGUGGUGGAUAAAGCAAAUGGAUGUAAUAUUCUUCACACAGGACACGAAGUCUGGAGUUUGGGACUCCAGGGUAGCUGCAGCAGCUGCAAAAUGC